GGAUUUUUAGCACAACUGAAAUAAUAAUUGCACUUUAUCAUCUGGACCAUGUUUUCUUUUAUCAGUUGUUUUUUGCGCUUAAGAAACGAGGACUUGAUUGUUUUUCAGUACCACCAGUGCGUGGACAUGUGAAAUUUUGCCUUAAUUUUCUUUUCUGUAAAAUACAAUUUUGAUGUUCAGGAAGUUUAAGGAGAUUAGAAUUUUGCUGGAGAAUUGGACUAGAGACAAAGUUAAUGGGCUGUUCAGGGUUCACAGUAGAUUUAGAAUGUCACAUGAAGAGGGCACUUCAUGGUUCAUGUACUGCUUCUGUCAUGUACAAUGCAGUUGGCAAAAAAGAAAAAUCAAAUGCUGUCUUUAUGAAACUCCUGAUACUGAAUAGGUCCCUGAUAGAAUUCUGGAAGUGCUCUGUUGUGUAUUCUGUUGUGGGUUUAUUUUCCCCCUAUUUUCUGUGUGUAGCCAUCUGCUGACUUUUCAGGCUUUAGGUUUCCAGUAGUCAGCUUGUUGCUCAGUUUGGUUCAUCGUAAACUAAUGGUUUGAGCCAAGUGAGAACCCUGAGGAGGAGGUUGAAGGUGCUUGAAACUGCACACAGUUAAAACCAAGGUGUUUUAACUGCAGGAUUUAGAUUACCAAGGUAAUCAUGAAUGGGAAAAGAAACUAUGACAGGGAAGCUAUGACAGGACAGCGUGUACUGUAACAUGUAAGUGCAAGUUAAUACUUUCUAAAUUUUGCAGUUCUUGCAUGCCUGGAUAUGCUGCCUUUACACCAGUGUUAUAUAUCUACCCUGAAUUUUCUCAGGCUUUGUCUAUACCAAACCUGAUAUUGCUUCUAGCACACCUGCUCUCAUCUGGGGAGCGUGAUCCUGCCCCUCUGCUCUGCUAUUGUGAGACCCCACUUGGAGUACUGUGUACAGUUCUGGUGUCCUCAACAUAAGGAGGACAUGGAGCUGUUGGAACGAGUCCAGAGGAGGGCCACAAGGAUGAUAAGAGGGCUGGAGCACCUCCCGUAUGAAGACAGGCUGAGAGAGUUGGGGCUGUUCAGGCUGGAGAAGAGAAGGCUGCGUGGAGACCUCAUAGAAGCCUUCCAGUAUCUGAAGGGGGCCUACAAGGAUGCUGGGGAGGGACUCUUCCUUAGGGACUGUAAUGGCUUCAAACUUAAACAGAGGAAGCUUAGGUUAGAUACAAGGAAGAAGUUCUUUACAGUGAGGGUGGUGAGGCACUGGAAUGGGUUGCCCAAGGAAGUUGUGAAUACUCCAUCCCUGGCGGUGUUCAAGGCCAGGUUGGACAGAGCCUUGAGCGACAUGGUUUAGUGCGAGGUGUCCCUGCCCAUGGCAGGGGGGUUGGAACUAGAUGAUCUUAAGGUCCUUUCCAACUUCUGUGAUUCUAUGAUGUUUGGGUUUAAUUUAACUGAAACAAAAUACUGUAUUGUGCUUAUUGACUUACAGUGCAUUUUUAUAAAAGGCCAUUUUAAUAACAUAGUUAGAACCCCCGAAGAUGGAAAAAUAUUAUGCAGAUGGACUGAAAAGAUGGCCCUAAUUGCUUAGGGAGGAGAUACGUAACACACUGUCCCCAGAUUUGAGGGGUUUUCUUGGACUUUGCAACAUGACCUUUUUCUUGUACUGUAUCUGUUACCAAAAAUAUUCUUCUCUGCCUUUGUUUAGCCUGGUUGAAUUGUUUCAGUUGUAGCCCUCCAUCACAAUUACAGAAAGCUUUUAAAAGGGAUUUUUGGGGGGCAGGGAAGACUGGAAAGGUCCUGUGCACUUGCAUGUGUUUUGAGAAUACAGAUGGUUUGGAGCCAUGUGCUCAAGUCUGGUUUUCUGUUCUGACCACUUCUGUUUGUCCUGGAAGUUACUUACAGUGGCUAUACCUGUUCUUCAAAGAAUUUUUAAAACCCGUAUUUGUAGUUUACAACUUAUGCAACUAUGUUGUUAUUCCCACAAGUGUGACUACCAUGGAGAAUUUUAAUGUGUAUUUAUGAAAACCCCAAUCAGAAUACAUUGCUUAUACUGCAUGAGCAAUGACUAUCUGAAUAAUGGAUGUAUAUUUUCAGAGAUUUGUAUUCGGUUUCUCAACAGAGGGACUAUUGAGAUUCCUGCAUGUGUGUCUGUGUAUGUACACACACUUAUUAUAUACAUAUAUAUAAAUAUAGAUAAAACUAAUUUAUAUAA
This 2164-nucleotide long non-coding RNA is filed under the name Strigops habroptila (Kakapo). RNAcentral's name for it is "lncRNA (ENSSHBG00005006617.1)". The record is from RNAcentral. Lineage: Eukaryota; Metazoa; Chordata; Aves; Psittaciformes; Psittacidae.